Molecule: ribosomal RNA, 301 nt
Filed under: uncultured bacterium
Lineage: Bacteria
Description: partial 16S ribosomal RNA
Rfam family: Bacterial small subunit ribosomal RNA
Source: RNAcentral
CAGUCGCCACGGUAAUACAGAGGGUGCGAGCGUUAAUCGGAUUUACUGGGCGUAAAGCGUGCGUAGGCGGCUAAUUGAGUCGGAUGUGAAAUCCCCGAGCUUAACUUGGGAAUUGCAUUCGAUACUGGUUAGCUAGAGUGUGGGAGAGGAUGGUAGAAUUCCAGGUGUAGCGGUGAAAUGCGUAGAGAUCUGGAGGAAUACCGAUGGCGAAGGCAGCCAUCUGGCCUAACACUGACGCUGAGGUACGAAAGCAUGGGGAGCAAACAGGAUUAGAUACCCGAGUAGUCCCUGUCUCUUAUAC